Molecule: ribosomal RNA, 322 nt
Filed under: uncultured eukaryote
Lineage: Eukaryota
Description: partial 18S ribosomal RNA
Rfam family: Eukaryotic small subunit ribosomal RNA
Source: RNAcentral
CCCUUAGAUGUUCUGGGCCGCACGCGUGCUACACUGAGUGGAUCAGCGGGUCAGGUUGCGCGAAAGCGUUUCCUAAUCUUUAAAUCCGCUCGUGAUGGGGAUUGACGGUUGCAAUUUUCUGUCAUGAACGAGGAAUACCUUGUGAGCGCGGGUCAUCAUCCCGCGCUGAAUACGUCCCUGCCCUUUGUACACACCGCCCGUCGCUCCUACCGAUUGAGUGGUCCGGUGAGGCUUUGGGAUCUGAGCGGAAAGAGCGUUUCGCUGUUUCUGCUCGGAAAACUCAGUCGAACCUUAUCAUUUAGAGGAAGGAGAAGUCGUAACA